RNAcentral lists this long non-coding RNA (778 nucleotides) under Mus musculus (house mouse). Its description in RNAcentral is "RIKEN cDNA A930006K02 gene (A930006K02Rik)". Lineage: Eukaryota; Metazoa; Chordata; Mammalia; Rodentia; Muridae. The record is from RNAcentral.
AGAAGACGUAAGAGGUAGGGCUGUCGUAGGCUCGGCGUCUCUGGUGCUGCUGGCCCAGGCACCUCGGGUUCUGCCCGUAGCCUUAGGUGAGCGAAGGCCGAGCAACGGGGAGUAAUUGCUGGGCGCAGGUAGCUUGAGUCCAGCGCUCUCACCCCGACGCCCGCCCAAUGGCUCUGCUCCAGCCUGGGAUUCUGACCCGGGCCCGAGCCUGGGAUGGCUGGUGGGUGGGAGACCAGAGAGCAGCAGAAAUGUGCUUUCCAGCCCUAGUGCGGUUUGUCCCGGGUUAACGGAGGAGUGAGAUGAGAGUAUCACUCCUAACAGUCGAGCAGGCUAACAAAACAAUAACAAAUAAGCCAGGGAACCACUGGGCUAAUUACAUCGGGAGAAUGGCGACUGCUCUAAGGGUGAGAGACAAGAGAGAUCUCUUCAUAGUGAUGAAAACAAACAAACAAACAACAACAAUAAAACCAAAAAAGACAGCCCGGCAUCCCAGCCAGAACUCCUGGAGAUAAGUUCCGACUCCUCUCAGGGAGGAAACCUUAUGUCUACUUCACUCAAUGCUUGUAACUUCGUUCCAAUAAGAGACUGAGCUAACUUGUGUUAUGGCUCCAUAAGCACUUCCACCGAGCCUGACAGAUGACAGAGAUUCCCAGAAACCACGUGGAAAAAAGAACCAACUCCAGCAAGUUGUUCCCUGGCCUCUCUGCCCAUGCACCUUGACAUAUUUGUGCACACAAGAACACAAAAUACUUGUAAUAAAACAUGUUUUAAAGAUGAC